Molecule: small RNA, 169 nt
Filed under: Dorea sp. CAG:105
Lineage: Bacteria; Bacillati; Bacillota; Clostridia; Lachnospirales; Lachnospiraceae
Description: Clostridiales-1 RNA
Rfam family: Clostridiales-1 RNA
Source: Rfam by way of RNAcentral
AGAUGCCAGGGGCAAAAGCCUAAAACUACGAUGUGCUUGCACAUGAGUAGUUUUAGGGCUUAAUGCCCCGCCCCGAUAUGAGCAUAAAAGUGGAGCGUAAGCUUCACGAUAUGCGAAUAUUGGGUAGAAUUGUGAGAGUACGAAGUACGAAACAAUUCGUAUGGAAUCU